This 3494-nucleotide long non-coding RNA is filed under the name Homo sapiens (human). RNAcentral's name for it is "non-protein coding BOK-AS1:12". Lineage: Eukaryota; Metazoa; Chordata; Mammalia; Primates; Hominidae. The record is from RNAcentral.
CUCUUCCUCCUUCCGCCUCGUAAGACACGUCUCUUUCCUCUUCGCCCUCCGCCAUGAUUUAGAGACGGGGUUUCACCGUGUUGGCCAGGAUGGUCUCCAUCUCUUGACGUCGUGAUCCACCCGCCUCGGCCUCCCAAAGUGCUGGGAUUACAGGCGUGAGCCACCGCACCCGGCCGAUAUUACAAAAUCUUUUCCUGACACGAACCUGGCGGCUUAGGACAACACACACUUACUCUCUCACAGUUCCUGAGGCUGGAAGUCCAGAAGUCGGGGUGCUGGCAGGACGUGCUCUUCUGAAGCCUCCAGGGCAGGGCCAGCCGCAUGCCCGUCUCCUCGCUUGGGCACCUGCCAGCGGUCCCCGGCGGUCCCCGGCUCAUUGCUGCAUGGCUCCAACGUCCGCCUCUCCCACCAUGUGGCCUCCUCCUGGUGUCUCUGUGUCCAAAUCUCCCGCUCUGUCUAAGGAUAACAGUCACUGGUCAUGGGACCCAUCCUAAUCCAGGGUGACCUCGUAUUAACCUCAUCACAUCUGCAAAGACUAUUUCCAAGUCAAGCCACACUCCCAGCUGCUGGGGGCGGGACUUGAACAUAUUUUUUGUGGGGACACAAUUCCCCUCUCAGGUUUUAAGAUUUGUCUUUAUCAUUAAAGUUUUCAAAACUAACUAUCAUGUGUCAGGUCAACAUUUUGUUUUCCCCUUUUCACCUGAAAACUUACAUUUCUCUUCAAUUUGGGGAAAUUUUUCCUGUGUGUGUCUGUGUCUGUGUCUGUGUGUGUCUAUGUGGUGUGUCUGUGUUUUCUGUGUGGGUAUGUGUGGUAUGUGUGUUUUCUGUGUACGUGUGGUGUGCGUGUGUAGGUGGGUGGUCUCUGGUAUUUGUGUAUGUCUGGGUUUUCUGUGUAUGUGUGGUAUGUGUCUGUGUGUGUGCUUGUGUAUCUGUGUGUGUGUUCAUCUGUGUGUACGUGUGGUGUGUAUCUCUGUGUGUGUGCUUGUGUAUCUGUGUGUGUUCAUCCGUUUGUGUGGUAUGUGUCUCUGUGUGUGUGUAUGCUUGUGUAUCUCUGUUCAUCUGUAUGUGUGGUGUUUGCUUGUGUAUCUGUAUGUGUGUGUUCAUCUGUAUGUGUGGUAUGUGUCUCUCUGUGUGUGUGCUUGUGUAUCUGUGUCUUUCUGUGUGAUGCAUGUGUCUGUGUGUUCAUCUGUGUGUACGUGUGGUGUGUAUGUGGGGGGGGUUGUGUGGUAUGUAUGUGUGUAUAUGGGUGGUGUGUGAGUAUGCAUCUGUGUGGUGUGUGCAUCUGUGUGUGUGGUAUGUGUGUGUGUGCAUCUGUGGGUCUGUGGGGGUGUGUGUCUGGUGUGUGUGUGUGUAUGGGUGGUGUGUGAGUAGGCAUCUGUGCGCAUCUGUGUGUGUGGUAUGUGUGUGUGAUGUGUGUAUCUGUGGUGUGUGUGUGCAUCUGUGGGUCUGUGGUAUGUGGGGAGGGUGUCUGUGGUAUGUGUGUAUGUGUAGGGUGUGAGUGUGCAUCUGUGUGCAUCUGUAUGUGUGUGGUAUGUAUGUGUCUGUGCGAUUGUCUGUGGUGUGUGUGUGCAUCUGUGUGUCUGCGGUGUGUAUGUGUGUGGUGUGUGUGUGGUGUGUGAGUGUGCAUCUGUGUGCGCCUGUGUGUCCGUGUGUGGGUGGUGCCUCCUCUCUGCCCUCCUCCCUCUCUGUCCUCCUUCUGGAAAGCCUGCUGGAUGGCUACGACGACGACUUGUGGAUCUCACCUCCGUGUUUCUCAGCUUUUCCUUGACAAUUUAUUUCUAGGUCCACAAUCUGCGGAGUCGCCUUCCUGGGCUCAGUCUUCAUCCUGUCAAUGUUUUCAUCUUCAUCCAUUUUGCUACUCAGUCCCUUCACGGUGGCGUUUUAUUUGAAUUCAUGUUUGUACUGUUCCUUUUCUUUCUCCAGCUGAUCCCUCUCUGCACACACAGCAUUCUCCUGGCUCUCGCCGAGAUGUCUACACACAUUCCGGAGUCUCCUAAUUGCUUUCUCAGUUAUGUUUCCCAGGGGCGGGAGUGGGGUGACUCCUUCCCUCGGUUGCGCUGCCGUUUCCUUUCUGUCUUGGCUGUCUUCCAUGCUUGGUGUGGUAGCUGAAUAACGGCCCCCAAAGAUGUCCUGGUCCUGAUCCCUGGCACCUGUGAAUAUGGGACCAAAAGGGACACUGAUGAUAUGAGUAAGUUGAGGCUCUGGAGAUGGGAGAUUAUCUCGGAUUAUCUAGGUGGUCCUAAUGUCAUCACAGACUCCUUAUAAUAUGGAAGCAAGUGCUUAACGAUGGGAAUACAUUAAAAAAGGAAAAAAUGAAAACGGAAGCAAGAGGGUCAGAGAGAUACGCCGCAGUGGGAGCAGGCCGGAGAGAGGCUCUGCUGCUGGCUUUGUAGGUGGAGAGGGGGCCAUGAGCCGAGGGAUGCAGGUGGCUUCUGGAAGCUGAAAAAGACAAGGAAACCAAUUCUCUCCUAGGGCCUCCAGAGGAACCAGCGCUGCCGACUCCUUGAUUCUAACCCACUGAGGCCUAUUUUGGAUUUCUGCACCCCAGAACUGUGGGAGAGUAAAUUGUGCUGUUGAAGCCACCACAUUUGUGGUGAUCUGUUCCAGCUGCAGUAGGAAGCUCGUAUGCUUGGCAGUUCUGAUUGUGAACUCACCUUUAUGUUGGAGAUUCCUUUACACAUAAGUCCCCUUAUCCACAGCGGACAAAUUCCAUGACCCCCAGUGGAUGCCUGAAAUCGCGGAGAGUACUGAAUCCUACAUAUAAUGUGUUCUUUCCUAUAUGUAUAUGUAUAUAUCUAUAUCUAUGAUACAGUCUAAUUUAUAAAUUAGGCACAGUGAGAGAUUAACAACAAUAACUAAUAGUAAAAUAGGACAAUGAUGACAAUAUAAUGUAAUAAAAGUUUUGUGAAUAUGGUCUCUCUUCUCUCUCAAAAUAUCUUACUGUAAAAUUAGCUGGCCAUGGUGGCGUGUGCCUGUAGUCCCAGCUACUCAGGAGUGUGAGAAGGGAGGAUCACUUAAGCCUAGGAGGUGGGGGCUGCAGUGAGCCAAAGAUUGUGCCAUUGCACACCAGCCUGGGCAACAGAGUGAGAUCCUGUUUCUAAAAACAAACAAACAAAAAACAAACUUACUGAACUUAUUGUACUGAUAUUUUUGAACCAUGGUCGACUGUGGGUAACUGAAACCAUGAAAAAGUGAAACCACUGAUAAGGGGGAUUGCUGUACUCCCUGCUGUGUCAGUGACUCAGCCUCCCUGGUGGAGGGAACGGCUGCUGGGGAACACAUUGGAAGCUGGUCUUCUGGGUCCCCAGGAGGCAACCUAUUCAUGAAAAUAAUAUGUUCAUUUUAUACAAGUUGGAAAAUAUAGAAUAAUAUAAAUAAUUUGCAUAAGACUCAUAAUCUGGUUCACAGGCAACCAUUAUAAAUAUUUGAAAAAAAUUUUUUUUUUUUUUUAGACAAGAGUUUCGCUCUUGUUGCCCAAGCUGGAGCGCAAUGGC